AUCCUUUUGUAGUUCAUAAGUGUGAUGAUUGGGUGUUCACGCUCUUGUGUGAGAUGUGUCUCUCAAAACCUUGUUACGACUUCGGCAUAUUACCCGUAUGACA
Molecule: small nucleolar RNA, 103 nt
Organism: Molossus molossus (Pallas's mastiff bat)
Lineage: Eukaryota; Metazoa; Chordata; Mammalia; Chiroptera; Molossidae
Product: small nucleolar RNA U13
Exons: 1
Source: RefSeq, a predicted model, not a curated record